This 253-nucleotide ribosomal RNA is filed under the name uncultured bacterium. RNAcentral describes it as "partial 16S ribosomal RNA". It matches the Rfam family "Bacterial small subunit ribosomal RNA", at positions 524 to 776 of the family's 1533-position model. The record is from RNAcentral.
UACGUAGGGGGCAAGCGUUGUCCGGAUUUACUGGGCGUAAAGAGCGCGCAGGCGGUCGUCCAAGUCGCGUGUGAAAGCCCCCGGCUCAACUGGGGAGGGUCACGCGAUACUGCUCGACUUGAAGGCAGGAGAGGGAAGUGGAAUUCCCGGUGUAGUGGUGAAAUGCGUAGAUAUCGGGAGGAACACCAGUGGCGAAGGCGACUUCCUGGCCUGUUCUUGACGCUGAGGCGCGAAAGCUAGGGUAGCAAACGGG